Molecule: transfer RNA, 92 nt
Filed under: Thermorudis peleae
Lineage: Bacteria; Pseudomonadati; Thermomicrobiota; Thermomicrobia
Description: tRNA-Ser
Rfam family: tRNA
About the family: Transfer RNA (tRNA) molecules are approximately 80 nucleotides in length. Their secondary structure includes four short double-helical elements and three loops (D, anti-codon, and T loops).
Source: RNAcentral
GGAAGGGUCGCAUAGUUGGCCGAGUGCGCGCGACUGGAAAUCGCGUGGGCGUGAUGAGCGCCUCGUGGGUUCGAAUCCCACCCCUUCCGCCC